Non-coding RNA from Danio rerio (zebrafish), 73 nucleotides. NCBI's taxonomy places the organism in Eukaryota, Metazoa, Chordata, Actinopteri, Cypriniformes, Danionidae. The record is from Rfam.
GUUUCUGUAGUGUAGUGGUCAUCACGAUUGCCUUACACGCGAAAGGUCCUCGGUUCGAAACCGAGCAGAAACA